Molecule: ribosomal RNA, 254 nt
Filed under: uncultured bacterium
Lineage: Bacteria
Description: partial 16S ribosomal RNA
Rfam family: Bacterial small subunit ribosomal RNA
Source: RNAcentral
UACGAAGGGGGCGAGCGUUGUUCGGAGUUACUGGGCGUAAAGGGCGUGUAGGCGGUUAGUUAAGUCUGGCGUGAAAGCUCUCGGCUAAACCGGGAGAGGUCGUUGGAUACUGGCUGACUAGAGGACGGUAGAGGCGUGUGGAAUUCCGGGUGUAGUGGUGAAAUGCGUAGAGAUCCGGAGGAACACCAGUGGCGAAGGCGACUACCUGGCCUGUUUCUUGACGCUGAGGCGCGAAAGCUAGGGGAGCAAACGGG